CUCCAAUAGCGUAUAUUAAAGUUGUUGCAGUUAAAAAGCUCGUAGUUGGAUCUCGGGUCCAGGCCUGCGGUCCGCCUCGCGGCGGUCACUGCUCGUCCUGACCUCCCAGCCGGUGUGUCCCUUGGUGCUCUUGACUGAGUGUCUCGGGCGGCCGGAACGUUUACUUUGAAAAAAUUAGAGUGUUCAAAGCAGGCGUGUCGCCUGUAUAAUGGUGCAUGGAAUGAUGGAAUAGGACCUCGGUUCUAUUUUGUUGGUUUUCGGAGCUCGAGGUAAUGAUUAAGAGGGACAGACGGGGGCAUUCGUAUUGCGGUGUUAGAGGUGAAAUUCUUGGAUCGCCGCAAGACGAACUACAGCGAAAGCAUUUGCCAAGCAUGUUUUCAUUAAUCAAGAACGAAAGUCAGAGGUUCGAAGACGAUCAGAUACCGUCGUAGUUCUGACCAUAAACGAUGCCGACUGGCGAUCCGCCGGAGUUGCUUCAAUGACUCGGCGGGCAGCCCCCGGGAAACCUAAGUUUUUGGGUUCCGGGGGGAGUAUGGUUGCAAAGCUGAAA
Molecule: ribosomal RNA, 550 nt
Filed under: uncultured eukaryote
Lineage: Eukaryota
Description: SSU rRNA
Rfam family: Eukaryotic small subunit ribosomal RNA
Source: RNAcentral